GACCAUAAACACUAAAACAGUCAUACAUCUGAUGGAGAUGGUGUUGGAGGGAAACUCAAAGGAUGCAGCUUUGAGAAAACACAUACUCUAUGCUAAUCUCUCUCUAAUUUAUGCUUUCAUCUUUCAAGUAAAUCCAUACUCCCUAACAGCAGUGUCCAGUUGUUACGGCACCCUCAGCAUAAAAGGGUUACACCGCCGUUUAGAAGAUCUUCCCCUUCCAGAGAUGCAGGCUCAGCUACUGCAGAACAUCAAUCCGCCGAACAGGAAACCAUACAAAUGCUGUAAACAGCCGAAUAGGAAAAACCAUACGAAUAGGUUUACACUCCUAGCAGUCAAACUGGAACAGCAUACAAUAAAUCCCCCCAAGAAUGAGACAAAGCUCUGUGUUGAGGGUCAAGCAGUGAACAGACAGAGCUGUGGGUUUAUUGUGCUUAUGUACACAUUCUUACACAUUAGUACCACCCACAGGG
This is a non-coding RNA of Pelobates cultripes (western spadefoot toad), 470 nucleotides long. NCBI's taxonomy places the organism in Eukaryota, Metazoa, Chordata, Amphibia, Anura, Pelobatidae. The record is from the annotation of a GenBank genome assembly.